This 208-nucleotide unclassified non-coding RNA is filed under the name uncultured fungus. Its description in RNAcentral is "partial contains 18S rRNA, ITS1 and 5.8S rRNA". The record is from RNAcentral. Lineage: Eukaryota; Fungi.
UGGUGAACCAGCGGAGGGAUCAUUACCGAGUUUACAACUCCCAAACCCCUGUGAACAUACCUAUCGUUGCUUCGGCGGAUCCGCCCCGGCGCCCUCGGGCCCGGAUCAGGCGCCCGCCGGGGACCCAAAACUCUUGUAUUUCUUUAGUAUCUUCUGAGUAAACAAGCAAAUCAAUUAAAACUUUCAACAACGGAUCUCUUGGUUCUGG